Molecule: ribosomal RNA, 439 nt
Filed under: uncultured bacterium
Lineage: Bacteria
Description: bacterial SSU rRNA
Rfam family: Bacterial small subunit ribosomal RNA
Source: RNAcentral
CUACGGGAGGCAGCAGUCGGGAAUUUUGCUCAAUGGGCGAAAGCCUGAAGCAGCAACGCCGCGUGAGGGAUGAAGGCCUUCGGGUCGUAAACCUCUUUUGCCGAGGACGAUGAUGACGGUACUCGGUGAAUAAGCCACGGCUAACUACGUGCCAGCAGCCGCGGUAAUACGUAGGUGGCAAGCGUUGUCCGGAUUUACUGGGCGUAAAGAGCGCGCAGGCGGUCGUAUAAGUCGAAUGUGAAAGCCCCCGGCUCAACUGGGGAGGGUCAUUCGAUACUGUUCGACUCGAAGGCAGGAGAGGGAAGUGGAAUUCCGGGUGUAGUGGUGAAAUGCGUAGAUAUCCGGAGGAACACCAGUGGCGAAGGCGACUUUCUGGCCUGUUCUUGACGCUGAGGCGCGAAAGCUAGGGGAGCAAACGGGAUUAGAAACCCGGUAGUCC